This 2621-nucleotide small RNA is filed under the name Rattus norvegicus (Norway rat). RNAcentral's name for it is "uncharacterized LOC102546512". The record is from RNAcentral. Lineage: Eukaryota; Metazoa; Chordata; Mammalia; Rodentia; Muridae.
AUAGAUAAUAUAAUAUUUCAUUUGUAAUAAAAUUACAACUUAUUUGUAAUGCAAUUUUUAAAAGGAAAAGCCGAUGAUGUUGCUGGUGGGGACUUUUGAGUAAGGAGAAUGUUUGUUCUCUAUGGUGGACCUGACAGAGUAGCCAUAAACAUUUAAACUCAUGAGAGUAGUUCACAAAAACAAGACUCCCACACCCAACCUAGGAGCAGACAGUGCGGUACAUGGGGGUGGCCCUCCUCCUUCUCAAGUCAGGAUGAGAUCAACAGAGUUGGGGGUUUUCCCUGUAAGGAAAGUCAAAAAAGAACCCUGCAAACUGCUUGUCAACAUAUGGGUAAAUAACGAUCUGCUGACUUUGAAAAAUUAGUUAUAAUCCAUUUCACAUAAUGCAUGCAAAGCACAGCAGGCAGCGGCCCAUAAUGGAAGGAUUAGUUUGGGGCCUUAGGGUAGUUUUUAAAAUUCACAAGCUGAUAGAAUGUUACACCCCAUAUGGACCCAGAUUAUUCUCACCGGGGAGUUUCCAGGACUCCCUUCCCUCCUACAGAACUCUGGAUGUUCCUAGUGCUGGAGAGACAGCUUCCUCCAUCCAUCAGGGCAGCGGCUGGAGAUAUUCCCCCGUGAUAGGUUCUGUUCCCGUUGGAUGUGGUGACCCAUGACACCUUUGAUCCCGGCACUUGGAAGGAGGCAGAGGCAGCCUGAUCUCUGUGAGUUCGAGGUCAGCAUGGUCUACAAAGAACCCACACCUUCUUUGCACCAGCUGCCAUUGACAGGACUGACAACAGAUGAGGAAGCAGCUGUCGCAAUUGCCGAAGUUCCGUCACCCCUCAGCUGUCUAUCUGGAGCUGAUACCCGGGAUAUUUGGAAUGGACCAAUAGGACCCUUAGAACAACUUCUUUUCUGAGCUAUCUUUCAGCAGCUGUUUGUUCCCCGUCCUCCCUCUCUAACCCCUCUCAAUCCUCCUUCCCACUCGUUUUUUUUUGUUUUUUUCUUUGAAUUUCUGUCUCCUUUUCCAUCUAGGUUCACGGCUUAAUACGUGAAAAAUUGAAAAAAAAAAAAAGGGCCUUAUUAUUUUAAGAUAAACCCAAAUGAAAACUCAGCCAUCUAACCUCUGCUAACUAAAUUAUGCAGUGUUUGUGUUACCUCCGGAUUUGUUUUUGUGGGUUAAGCCUCUCAAAGGAGAAAAAGGCUUAUUUGUUGCAAUCCGAAGGAGAAAGACUGGGAAGAAGGAAAUACAAAACAAGAGGAAAGCUGAGCCUGCGGAUCGCAUACCUAGUGAAAGUAAUACGAAAUGCAAAUCUGGACAUGCCCGCAUGUAUUUUUCCAUUUGAAAACAAACCUGGUUACAACCGGUGUAUUUUUAUUGUUUCCUCUGGACUCUAUUGCCCUUGGGGGCAAGCGCUCUGCAAGAGAGGCCAGCCUGCCCUCUAGUGGAUGCCGAAGACAUGCACUCGAAGCCUAGGGCUGCAGCUUGGCUGUCCACAGAGUGAAGCUGGGGAAAGUCACUGAGAGGGAACGCCUGAGCAACUCUCCUGGAAAUGCAGUAGAUGGAGACACACACUGAAAGACUGGAUCCCCGUGAGCCUCGCUUUCAUUUGCUCUGAGAAACUGUUCAGUACUCUGAGUUGUCGAAGAUAGAUUUGAAUUUGAUGUAUGCGUGAUGCUUCAUGUGUCCUGUGUUUAAUUUGUCAAACAAAACAUUAACCAAAAAAAACCCUAAUGUGCAGAUUUGAAGUACAAGUGACAACGAAAUGUGCCGACCUUUCACACUAUUGGCUUGUGCAGAGCUUUAGCAUAGGAGGAGACAAGGGUACAGAAGUUAGGGAGGCCCAGGUCCCAUUCUUUGGGAAAUUACCCUUGGAUGGGAAGAAGCCGUAUUUGCACAUAGUUAUAAUACAUGACAGAAGUACAACUGGAGAGGGGAAGUACAUACUGACAUCUUAUUUAAUAUUUAAUAUUUAAGAACUUUUAUGUUGUAAAUUAGCAAGUGCAUUUAUAUUCUGUUAUCUGAGAAGAAUUCUGUAACAAUGGAUUUCUUGGCAUGCAACAAAGACCUUCCUACACAGGCGGAGAGGGUUCAGAAAGGCCAAAUAAUUCACCCUAGCGGAGCAGCAGGGAAUUGUCAUCCCUGGGAUUCAAAUUUGGCUGUCUGCUUUUCCUGUCAGUUUAGUUAAUUUUGACAGAACUACACUGAGAGGCUACCAGGUACCAGUUUUGCGCGGGGGAUAUGAAGAGGAAGAUGCCAUUAUCGUUCUUAGGGUUAGUGUCCUGCAGGGAACUAGACUCUGAAGAAAUAAUUGCUCUCUGUUGGGACAGAUGCGGCAGUGGACAUGCGCAGAUUUUACCUCUGGAGCCCAGCAGCCGGCCUCCUGUCACGUGAUCCUGAUAACUGAUUAGCUGUAGUUCCCAAGGUGUGGAAAAAGUAUGUCCAUAAACAGAUGAAAAGAGGGAAGAUGGCUCAGUCAGGUAAGUGCUUGUCUUGAAAGCAUGAUGACCUGAGUUCAACCCCCAGCACCUUUCAUUUAAGUCCAGGUGUUUGCAUGUGACCUCAGUUCCAGGGAGGUGGUGUCACUGGCCAGUCAGUCUCCUGACCUAACUAACUAAUGAGUCCUAGAUUCCUAUUUCAA